UUUGCACUCAUCGGGGAAGGGUGAGAACCUUCGACUAAGGUUCGACUCUAGCGAAAGCGAGAGAACGUUUUCACAGGCAACGGCCCGAAGGGUGAGGAGCGAAGCGACGAAUAAUCCUUUCCCCACCGCCA
This 131-nucleotide small RNA is filed under the name Escherichia coli. Its description in RNAcentral is "RtT sRNA". It matches the Rfam family "RtT RNA". Rfam says of the family: This family represents a bacterial cis-regulatory element known as RtT RNA. The exact function of RtT is unknown although it is thought that it may be involved in changing the cellular response in relation to amino acid starvation. The record is from RNAcentral. Lineage: Bacteria; Pseudomonadati; Pseudomonadota; Gammaproteobacteria; Enterobacterales; Enterobacteriaceae.